UUAGACACAGUGAAAAGUGUUUAAAAAAACACGGAGCUGUUAUACGCUUUGUUUUAGACGCAUAUAACAGUCAAUUAAAUAUACAUUGUUAAGCGUCGAAAAUCCUCCUUCUAAUUAUUUAAGAAGAAAAAAGCAGGAUAAUCCCAAAAAUAAGAAAGAACCGCUUAGCAGCAGUUACAUUUUGAUUACUGCUCAAGAACAAUUACUCUUCUAUUUCUUCAUUACUUUUCAUUCGCCUCCUGCCUCUUGUCCAUCCUAAUUCCGCGGCCAACUCUUUAUACCCCAUAACUUGUCAUCCUCUACAACUCGCAAAAUCGGGUUUUAAUUUUUAAUCUAGCAGAUUUGAAAUGCAGAAGCAAACUUGUGAAAAUACUCUCUAAAAUUGCUAUUGAACUUCAUAUGGUGAGAAAACCUCAAUACAAACUAUAUUGUUGUAACUUUUUAAUUUGUUUAAAAAAUGGUUUAUGGUUAUUAUUUUGUAAUGGUUAUCAAUAUUUUGAUAUUUGAACAUAUUGUCAAAGUUAAUUUGCACUAAAUUAAUAUAAGGGAAAUUCCACAUGGUAGCAUCGAAUUUUCGUGAAACGCCAGUGGUAACACUUUUGUAAGAUUUUUCCACAUGGUAACAUCCAGUUUAUGCCUUAUCUUACUGCCGUAACAUUUCUGUUAAUUUUUUGUCAAUUUCCAUUUAAUUCACCAUUUUGAAAUUUCUACCCUUAAUAAGUGUUAUCGUCUUUAUAAUUUGCCCUGAAUCAUUUUUAUGCUCAAAUGUUUAAUUUACAAUUUUGACGUUUAAUUCACUGUUUAAUUUACCGUUUAAUUCAUCAACGUUCUCAAUUGUUUUGGGGGAAAUUAUAAAGACAACAACCAAUACUUAAUUAGGGUAAAAACGUCAAAAUAGUGAAUUAAACAGAAAUUGACAAGAAUUUAACAGAAAGUGCUACGUCACUUAGAUAAGGCAUAAAUUGGAUGCUACCAUGUUGAAAAAUCUUACAAAAAUGCUACCACAGGUGUUUCAUGAAAGUUCGAUGCUACCAUGUGGAAUUUCUCUAAAUAUAAUGAAAAAUUGUACGUGAAUUGCUUCUUAGUUUAAGUAUAUGUUAAUCAUAAUCUUGUGGUUGAUGAGUAAAUUAUUGCUUGA
This is a long non-coding RNA of Amaranthus tricolor (Joseph's coat), 1138 nucleotides long. RefSeq lists it as uncharacterized. The transcript has 2 exons. The record is from RefSeq and is a predicted model, not a curated record. NCBI's taxonomy places the organism in Eukaryota, Viridiplantae, Streptophyta, Magnoliopsida, Caryophyllales, Amaranthaceae.